UACGGAGGGUGCGAGCGUUAUCCGGAAUUACUGGGUUUAAAGGGUGCGUAGGCGGCUAUGUAAGUCAGCUAGUGAAAGUUUGCGGCUCAACCGUAAAAUUGCUUUUGAUACUGCAUGGCUAGAAUUAGGAUGAGGUUAGCGGAAUGUGGCAUGUAGCGGUGAAAUGCAUAGAUAUGCCAUAGAACACCAAUUGCGAAGGCAGCUGGCUAGACCUGUAUUGACGCUGAGGCACGAAAGCGUGGGGAUCGAACAGG
RNAcentral lists this ribosomal RNA (254 nucleotides) under uncultured bacterium. RNAcentral describes it as "partial 16S ribosomal RNA". It matches the Rfam family "Bacterial small subunit ribosomal RNA", at positions 524 to 776 of the family's 1533-position model. The record is from RNAcentral.